RNAcentral lists this ribosomal RNA (465 nucleotides) under uncultured bacterium. RNAcentral describes it as "bacterial SSU rRNA". It matches the Rfam family "Bacterial small subunit ribosomal RNA", at positions 338 to 795 of the family's 1533-position model. The record is from RNAcentral.
CCUACGGGUGGCUGCAGUGGGGAAUAUUGGACAAUGGGCGAAAGCCUGAUCCAGCCAUGCCGCGUGUGUGAAGAAGGUCUUAGGAUCGUAAAGCACUUUAAGUUGGGAGGAAGGGCAGUAACUUAAUACGUUGCUGUUUUGACGUUACCGACAGAAUAAGCACCGGCUAACUCUGUGCCAGCAGCCGCGGUAAUACAGAGGGUGCAAGCGUUAAUCGGAAUUACUGGGCGUAAAGCGCGCGUAGGUGGUUCGUUAAGUUGGAUGUGAAAUCCCCGGGCUCAACCUGGGAACUGCAUUCAAAACUGUCGAGCUAGAGUAUGGUAGAGGGUGGUGGAAUUUCCUGUGUAGCGGUGAAAUGCGUAGAUAUAGGAAGGAACACCAGUGGCGAAGGCGACCACCUGGACUGAUACUGACACUGAGGUGCGAAAGCGUGGGGAGCAAACAGGAUUAGAUACCCAAGUAGUC